AGAGAUGUGUGAUGACGCAUAUCAAUAAGCGGAGGAAAAGGAACUAACAAGGAUUCCCUUAGUAACGGCGAGUGAAGCGGGAAGAGCUCAAAUUUGAAAUCUUCAAGGUUCUACCUUGACGAAUUGUAGUUUAUAGAAGUGUUUUCUGUUAGUAGAGUGGCAAAAGUUCUUUGGAAUAGGACAUCAUAGAGGGUGAGAAUCCCGUAUUUGGUCAUUCUUUCUAGCUUUGUGAUACACUUUCAACGAGUCGGAUUGUUUGGGAAUGCAGUCCAAAAUGGGUGGUAAAUUUCAUCUAAAGCUAAAUAUUGGCGAGAGACCGAUAGCGAACAAGUACCGUGAGGGAAAGAUGAAAAGAACUUUGAAAAGAGAGUUAAACAGUACGUGAAAUUGUCAAAAGGGAAGCGUUUGACACCAGUGUUGUUUUUCCGAAAAUCAAUUACGAAUGUUUUAUUUUUGAGAAGUUAUGACUUCAUCGGCUUGCUUCUCUCUUUACUGAAACUUUCUUAAUGCACUUUUCAGGUUAACAAGUCAACAUCAAUUUCUUUUGUUGUAAAAGAGUAUGAGGAAGGUGGCUUUCUCUUCGGCGCAAGUGUUUAUAGCCGUUUACUCCUGCAAUCGGAGAGAUUGAGGUCUGCAGCGUAGAUCCUUCGGGGUUAGAUACAUUUGUGCUAAGCUAUAGCCUCUUCAUAGACAACUUGUUGACUAUGCUCAGUCAUGUAGCUUACUCGCUUAUGCUAUUUUACCUACGCUUAGGAUGUUGAUAGUCACAGCGUGUAC
Molecule: ribosomal RNA, 777 nt
Filed under: uncultured Neocallimastigales
Lineage: Eukaryota; Fungi; Neocallimastigomycota; Neocallimastigomycetes; Neocallimastigales
Description: partial large subunit ribosomal RNA
Rfam family: Eukaryotic large subunit ribosomal RNA
Source: RNAcentral